This 253-nucleotide ribosomal RNA is filed under the name uncultured bacterium. RNAcentral's name for it is "partial 16S ribosomal RNA". It matches the Rfam family "Bacterial small subunit ribosomal RNA", at positions 524 to 776 of the family's 1533-position model. The record is from RNAcentral.
AACGUAGGGUCCGAGCGUUGUCCGGAAUUAUUGGGCGUAAAGGGCUCGUAGGCGGUCCGUCACGUCGGGAGUGAAAACUCAGGGCUCAACCCUGAGCGUGCUUCCGAUACGGGCGGACUAGAGGUAUGCAGGGGAGAACGGAAUUCCUGGUGUAGCGGUGGAAUGCGCAGAUAUCAGGAGGAACACCGGUGGCGAAGGCGGUUCUCUGGGCAUUACCUGACGCUGAGGAGCGAAAGCAUGGGGAGCGAACAGG